UACGGAGGGUGCGAGCGUUGUUCGGAAUCACUGGGCGUAAAGGGCGUGUAGGCGGUCUGUUAAGUCUGAUGUGAAAGCCCGGGGCUCACCCCCGGAAGGGCAUUGGAAACUGACGGACUCGAGUCCCGGAGAGGAGAGUGGAAUUCCUGGUGUAGCGGUGAAAUGCGUAGAUAUCUGGAGGAACACCAGUGGCGAAAGCGAGUUACUGGCCCGCAACUGACGCUGAGGAACGAAAGCCAGGGUAGCAAAAGGG
This 253-nucleotide ribosomal RNA is filed under the name uncultured bacterium. Its description in RNAcentral is "partial 16S ribosomal RNA". It matches the Rfam family "Bacterial small subunit ribosomal RNA", at positions 524 to 776 of the family's 1533-position model. The record is from RNAcentral.